Long non-coding RNA from Homo sapiens (human), 888 nucleotides. RefSeq lists it as uncharacterized. NCBI's taxonomy places the organism in Eukaryota, Metazoa, Chordata, Mammalia, Primates, Hominidae. The record is from RefSeq and is a predicted model, not a curated record. The transcript has 2 exons.
GAGCCUGAAGUUAUGGGGCGUGUAUACAGUGAGGGACCGCACCGCCCGCCGGCAGCUUUCAUCUGUCAACUCCUAGUGAGAAGAACACUCACCCACCAAAAAAAGGAAAAAUUGAAAAUGGUGCUGAUUUCGAGGGGUACUUGGAGACUGGCCCCGGGCUGGGCCCCUGUCUGGAGCGCCGAGGCCUGCCUGUCGGCCUGGGAUGACUGCAGAGGCUGCUGUCAAGGAAGCUGUGCUCCAUGGUCAGGACAAGCAAGCCGACCUAGGGGCCCAAGAGACCAAGAUGAGCUCUCCAGGCCCCACAGCCCGGCCCUGAGCCUCCUCUGCUGAAGCCAGCCCGUGCGCUGACAGCGGUAUGGGGCCUGCAUGAUUGGCGCAGGAAUAAGCAAAGAGACCCUGGACCCAAGGGCGGGUCCAGAAAGCGGCCCCUUCCCCACGCCGAUUUAUAACAAAGGCCCCUGCAGAGCAGGGGGAAGAGGUGGCCUUUCCCUGCCACGUGUCCAGUAUCAGUUGGACACUGACAGAAAAAAGUGACCCCAUCCCCACAAUUAAUUUAAAAUGAGUCACAGAGCAGGCUGGGCACGGUGGCUCACACCUGUAAUCCCAGCACUUUGGGAGGCUGAGGCGGGCGGAUCACUUCAGGCCAGGAGUUCAAGACCAGCCUGGCCAACAUGGUGACACCCUGUCUCUACUAAAAAUACAUAACUUAGCCGGGCGUGGUGGCACACUCCUGUAAUCCCAGCUACUCGGGAGGCUGAAGCACAAGAAUUGUUUGAACCCAGGAGGCAGAGGGUGCAGUGAGCUGAAAUUGCACCACCGCACUCCAGCCUGGGUGACAGAGGGAGACUCUGUCUCAAAAAAUAAUACUAAUAAAUGAAAUAAGUCAUA